GGUUGAUCCUGCCAGUAGUCAUAUGCUUGUCUCAAAGAUUAAGCCAUGCAUGUCUAAGUAUAAGCAAUCUAUACCGUGAAACUGCGAAUGGCUCAUUAAAUCAGUUAUCGUUUAUUUGAUAGUACCUUACUACUUGGAUAACCGUGGUAAUUCUAGAGCUAAUACAUGCUAAAAACCCCGACUUCGGAAGGGGUGUAUUUAUUAGAUAAAAAACCAAUGCCCUUCGGGGCUCCUUGGUGAUUCAUAAUAACUUAACGAAUCGCAUGGCCUUGUGCCGGCGAUGGUUCAUUCAAAUUUCUGCCCUAUCAACUUUCGAUUGUAGAGUAGUGGUCUACAAUGGUUUCAACGGGUAACGGGGAAUUAGGGUUCUAUUCCGGAGAGGGAGCCUGAGAAACGGCUACCACAUCCAAGGAAGGCAGCAGGCGCGCAAAUUACCCAAUCCCGACACGGGGAGGUAGUGACAAUAAAUACUGAUACAGGGCUCUUUUGGGUCUUGUAAUUGGAAUGAGUACAAUUUAAAUCCCUUAACGAGGAACAAUUGGAGGGCAAGUCUGGU
Molecule: ribosomal RNA, 556 nt
Filed under: uncultured eukaryote
Lineage: Eukaryota
Description: SSU rRNA
Rfam family: Eukaryotic small subunit ribosomal RNA
Source: RNAcentral